UACGUAGGGGGCAAGCGUUAUCCGGAUUUACUGGGUGUAAAGGAAGCGUAGACGGUAAAGCAAGUCUGAAGUGAAAUGCCAGUGCUCAACACUGGAACUGCUUUGGAAACUGUUUGGCUGGAGUGCAGGAGAGGUAAGUGGAAUUCCUAGUGUAGCGGUGAAAUGCGUAGAUAUUAGGAGGAACACCAGUGGCGAAGGCGGCUUACUGGACUGCAACUGACGUUGAGGCUCGAAAGCGUGGGGAGCAAACAGG
Molecule: ribosomal RNA, 253 nt
Filed under: uncultured bacterium
Lineage: Bacteria
Description: partial 16S ribosomal RNA
Rfam family: Bacterial small subunit ribosomal RNA
Source: RNAcentral